This 468-nucleotide ribosomal RNA is filed under the name uncultured bacterium. RNAcentral's name for it is "partial 16S ribosomal RNA". It matches the Rfam family "Bacterial small subunit ribosomal RNA", at positions 28 to 507 of the family's 1533-position model. The record is from RNAcentral.
GACGAACGCUGGCGGCGUGCUUAACACAUGCAAGUCGAACGGAAAGGCCCUGCUUUUGUGGGGUGCUCGAGUGGCGAACGGGUGAGUAACACGUGAGUAACCUGCCCUUGACUUUGGGAUAACUUCAGGAAACUGGGGCUAAUACCGGAUAGGAGCUCCUGCUGCAUGGUGGGGGUUGGAAAGUUUCGGCGGUUGGGGAUGGACUCGCGGCUUAUCAGCUUGUUGGUGGGGUAGUGGCUUACCAAGGCUUUGACGGGUAGCCGGCCUGGGAGGGUGACCGGCCACAUUGGGCCUGCGCUACGGCCCAGACUCCUACGGGAGGCAGCGGUGGGGAAUAUUGCACAAUGGGCGGAAGCCUGAUGCAGCAACGCCGCGUGCGGGAUGACGGCCUUCGGGUUGUAAACCGCUUUCGCCUGUGACGAAGCGUGAGUGACGGUAAUGGGUAAAGAAGCACCGGCUAACUACGUG